Molecule: transfer RNA, 65 nt
Filed under: Cantharidae sp. GENSP01
Lineage: Eukaryota; Metazoa; Arthropoda; Insecta; Coleoptera; Cantharidae
Description: tRNA-Ala
Source: RNAcentral
AGGAUAAUAAUUUAAAUUAAAAUGUUUAAUUUGCAUUUAAAAUAUAUUGAUACCAAUUUAUCUUA